This 1023-nucleotide ribosomal RNA is filed under the name Tenodera sinensis (Chinese praying mantis). RNAcentral's name for it is "SSU rRNA". It matches the Rfam family "Eukaryotic small subunit ribosomal RNA", at positions 44 to 998 of the family's 1831-position model. The record is from RNAcentral. Lineage: Eukaryota; Metazoa; Arthropoda; Insecta; Mantodea; Mantidae.
AUUAGCCAUGCAUGUCUCAGUGCAAGCCGAAUUAAGGUGAAACCGCGAAUGGCUCAUUAAAUCAGUUAUGGUUCCUUAGAUGAUGCACAGUUACUUGGAUAACUGUGGUAAUUCUAGAGCUAAUACAUGCAACUCGGUCCCGACCGGCGACGGAAGGGACGCUUUUAUUAGAUCAAAACCAAUCGGUCUUCGGGCCGUUUGUCUUGGUGACUCUGAAUAAAUUAUGGCAGAUCGCACGGCCCCCGAGCCGGCGACGCAUCUUUCAAAUGUCUGCCUUAUCAACUGUCGAUGGUAGGUUCUGCGCCUACCAUGGUUGUAACGGGUAACGGGGAAUCAGGGUUCGAUUCCGGAGAGGGAGCCUGAGAAACGGCUACCACAUCCAAGGAAGGCAGCAGGCGCGCAAAUUACCCACUCCCGGCACGGGGAGGUAGUGACGAAAAAUAACGAUACGGGACUCAUCCGAGGCCCCGUAAUCGGAAUGAGUACACUUUAAAUCCUUUAACGAGUAUCCAUUGGAGGGCAAGUCUGGUGCCAGCAGCCGCGGUAAUUCCAGCUCCAAUAGCGUAUAUUAAAGUUGUUGCGGUUAAAAAGCUCGUAGUCGGACUUGUGUCCCACGCUGCCGGUUCACCGCCCGUCGGUGUUUAACUGGCAUGCACGUGCGGACGUCCUGCCGGUGGCCCGAGCCGGCGCGGGUCUCGCACCCGUCGUCCGGGGAAGGCCUAUCAUACCCGUCGCGGUGCUCUUAACCGAGUGUCUCGAUGGGCCGGCACGUUUACUUUGAACAAAUUAGAGUGCUUAAAGCAGGCAGCAUCCGCCUGAAUACCGAGUGCAUGGAAUAAUGGAAUAGGACCUCGGUUCUAUUUUGUUGGUUUUCGGAAUCCCCGAGGUAAUGAUCAAUAGGGACAGACGGGGGCAUUCGUAUUGCGACGUUAGAGGUGAAAUUCUUGGAUCGUCGCAAGACGGGACCGAAGCGAAAGCAUUUGCCAAGAAUGUUUUCUCUGAUCAAGAACGAAGUUAGAGGUU